This 468-nucleotide ribosomal RNA is filed under the name uncultured bacterium. Its description in RNAcentral is "partial 16S ribosomal RNA". It matches the Rfam family "Bacterial small subunit ribosomal RNA", at positions 28 to 507 of the family's 1533-position model. The record is from RNAcentral.
GACGAACGCUGGCGGCGUGCUUAACACAUGCAAGUCGAACGGAAAGGCCCUGCUCUUGUGGGUUGCUCGAGUGGCGAACGGGUGAGUAACACGCGUGUAACCUCCCCUUGUCUUUCGGAUAACUUCACGAAACUGGGGCUAAUACACGAUAGGAUAUCCUGCUGCAUGGUGGGGGUUGGAAAGUUUCGGCUGUUGGGGAUGGACUCGCGGGUUAUCAGCUUGUUGGUGGGGUGGUGGCUUACCAAGGUUUUGACGGGUAGCCGGCCUUGGAGGGUGAGCGGCCUCCAUGGUACUGAGGUAGGGCCCAGUCUCCUACGUGAGGCAGUAGUGGGGAAUCUUGCACAGCGAGCGCGCGCCAGAUGCAGCAACGCCGCGUGCGUGAUGACGGCUUUCUGGUUGUAAACCGCUUUCGCCUGUGACGAAGCGUGAGUGACGGUAAUGAGUAAAGAAGCACCGGCUAACUACGUG